Molecule: ribosomal RNA, 410 nt
Filed under: uncultured Paludisphaera sp.
Lineage: Bacteria; Pseudomonadati; Planctomycetota; Planctomycetia; Isosphaerales; Isosphaeraceae
Also listed under: 1 other name
Description: bacterial SSU rRNA
Rfam family: Bacterial small subunit ribosomal RNA
Source: RNAcentral
UCGAGAAUCUUCGGCAAUGGGCGCAAGCCUGACCGAGCGACGCCGCGUGGAGGAUGAAGGCCUUCGGGUUGUAAACUCCUGUCGAGGGGGAGGAAGGGGCAACCUUGACCGAUCCCUGGAGGAAGCACGGGCUAAGUUCGUGCCAGCAGCCGCGGUAAGACGAACCGUGCGAACGUUAUUCGGAAUCACUGGGCUUAAAGCGCGUGUAGGCGGAUGGGAACGUCGGCUUCUGAAAGCCCCCGGCUCAACCGGGGAAGUGGGGCCGAAACGACCCGUCUCGAGGGACGUAGGGGGAUCUGGAACUUCCGGUGGAGCGGUGAAAUGCGUUGAGAUCGGAAGGAACGCCCGUGGCGAAAGCGAGAUCCUGGACGUUUUCUGACGCUGAGACGCGAAAGCUAGGGGAGCAAACG